AUUUGAAGGUCCACCAUGCCCUGGGAAGGGCGUGUGUCUUGUUUGAGUCCUCAGAAGAACUCGGUGGGGUAGGUACUAUUAUUAGCAUUUCCAUUUUACAGGUGAAGAAAUUGAGACUCUGAGAAUUUAUGUAAUAUGCUGAAAGUCACCCAGCAUGGGGGUGGGUGGGGGCGGACUCAAACCCAGGUCCGUCUACUCUGUUGGAGACCUUUGGGACUUCUCUCUGACCCCGAAUCCUAAUCCUCAAGUUAAAUACCAAAACCUGCUCGUUGGAAGACACCUAAGUUCUGCCUUACAGGCAUGCUUGCAACGGAAACCCUGGAGACUUUGGGGAGCUGGUUUGAAAAGGCUGAAACGAAUCCGUAGCUGAUUACUGGCGUCCUUCCUCCAGCUUGGGAUGCUUGGCCCUUCGGUGGAAAGCAGGAGUCUGAGCACAAACAUAUCGAGUGUAGAUGCCUCAGUGGCUGUAUAGGGGCAGCGAAGAGAAAGAAAACACGUUCCAGAGAGACCCUAGCAAGUAGGAUCAGGAAGUCAUCUGUGAACUGACCUCAUUCACUCCACUCAUUUUACUGACAAAGAAACUGAGGCUGAGAGCACGCCAGCGGGGUUAGCAGGAUUCACCAGAGGCACCGGUUGGGCCUCUGCGCGCCUGCUUGACUGUUCUGACUUUGAACAGGUUUAUUCAGCUGCUGUCUGCUAAGCCCCACAGAAAAGGACAAAGGCUGCUGAUCGGCCUUUUAUGGCUUAUUGGAAACCGGUGGUCCGCACUGAAGCUCUGGGUUUUUGAAAAUGCGGGUGAAAGGUACCUCCGGCCCUCCCCGCGAGUCCAAACAAGGAUUGGAAAGAGGCUGUGGAGGGGAGAGAGCGAGGAAGAGGCCUCAGACGAUACAAAUGACUGCAGAACUGGAAGAUAAAUCUCUUUGCAGCUAGAACACAAGGUCUGUAUUGAAAUGGAAACUCAUCAGAGAGACCUUCUAAUGACCUGAACAAAACACCCAACUCCCUUCCAUUUAUGUCACUGUCUAGCUCUUUAGCCUAAUGUAUUUUUCUUCAUAGUUAACACUCACCACUAAUUGAUACAGUAGAAUAUUGGAUUUCAAUAAAUAUUUGUUGAAAGAACAAAAGAAGAUAUUUGUCUAGAGGAAAUGGAAGAGUCAGUAUUUGAAGCCAGAACUAUGUGCUUCUAUAUCUUGUUUCAAACUAUUAUAUGCCACUGUUUCCCUACACAACUUUCUGUUCCAGUCAAACUAUGUUAGUGUCCAUGGAAGAAUCUGGUACCAGUAAGAUGAUGUGGUUUUUUUUUUUUUAUCCUGAAUCACCUUAUGUGAACAUACAGCCAAACAAACACCAAGAAAUUCUGAGUAAUAUAUGUCAAACACACUUAUAAAUGCAUAAAAUAGGCUCACAAAGUAUAGGAAGGC
Felis catus (domestic cat) is the source of this 1421-nucleotide long non-coding RNA. RefSeq lists it as uncharacterized. The record is from RefSeq and is a predicted model, not a curated record. The transcript has 4 exons. NCBI's taxonomy places the organism in Eukaryota, Metazoa, Chordata, Mammalia, Carnivora, Felidae.